This 468-nucleotide ribosomal RNA is filed under the name uncultured bacterium. RNAcentral's name for it is "partial 16S ribosomal RNA". It matches the Rfam family "Bacterial small subunit ribosomal RNA", at positions 28 to 507 of the family's 1533-position model. The record is from RNAcentral.
GACGAACGCUGGCGGCGUGCUUAACACAUGCAAGUCGAACGGAAAGGCCCUGCUUUUGUGGGGUGCUCGAGUGGCGAACGGGUGAGUAACACGUGAGUAACCUGCCCUUGACUUUGGGAUAACUUCAGGCAACUGGGGCUAAUACCGGAUAGGAGCUCCUGCUGCAUGGUGGGGGUUGGACAGUUUCGGCGGAUGGGGAUGGACUCGCGGCUUAUCAGCUUGUUGGGGGGGUAGUGGCUUACCAAGGCUUUGACGGGUAGCCGGCCUGAGAGGGUGACCGGCCACAUUGGGACUGAGAUAGGGCCCAGACGCCUACGGGAGGCAGCAGGGGGGAAUAUUGCACAAUGGGCGGAAGCCUGAGGCAGCAACGCCGCGUGCGGGAUGACGGCCUUCGGGUUGUAAACCGCUUUCGCCUGUGACGAAGCGUGAGUGACGGUAAUGGGUAAAGAAGCACCGGCUAACUACGUG